GCAGCAGCUGCCAGGGAUCUGCCCUGCUCCCCAGCCGCCCAACUUGGGAAUACUCCUGCAGGCUCUCCACUGCCCACAGAAAGAGCCUCUCCUACAAAAUGACCAGUGGGUGGAUGGAAACGCCAUAGGGGCUUCAGGAGAUCGUCUGGUCCCAUCCCUCUCUGAGCUGCUGCACAAGAUCUCUCUGUGAUGAGUGCGCUCCCAUGGAAGAAGUGUGCUGCCUGGAACAUCUGGCUGAACCUGAUGCUUGCACCUUCCCUGAAGCCAUAAAUCUUAGAGAUGGGGCCUCACUUCAUUGCCCGGGCUCAUCUUGGAUUCCUGG
Molecule: long non-coding RNA, 322 nt
Filed under: Homo sapiens (human)
Lineage: Eukaryota; Metazoa; Chordata; Mammalia; Primates; Hominidae
Description: HSALNT0394300
Source: RNAcentral